AUAGGAAAAGUGCCUCACGCAUCAGAAGUAUAGAAGAUUACCUCACUAUUGCCGUCGUAGCUGGAUGUUGCUAUGAGAUCUAUGUGAGAGCUGUUACGCGGGAAGAAGCUCGUAAAUCCAAGUAAAGUGGUUGAUGCUGAAUAUUUAUGAAAAAAGAGUGUUAAUAAUUGAUCACUAGGCACUGGGUUGGCUUUUCAUUUCAAGAAAAAUAAUCUCUGUGUAUAUGCAUAAAAAUGUCAUGGAUUUAGAAAACUUAUCCUUAUCCAUUACUCUGUCUACUGAUAUCUUGUACUUGUUACUCUUUCCUUCUUAUUAUUGAUAGAUGCGUAGUCGUUGAUUGACUUUUUGACGCA
Molecule: long non-coding RNA, 353 nt
Organism: Cynara cardunculus var. scolymus (artichoke)
Lineage: Eukaryota; Viridiplantae; Streptophyta; Magnoliopsida; Asterales; Asteraceae
Exons: 2
Source: RefSeq, a predicted model, not a curated record